AGGGUUUUAGUAUAAUAAAAAUAUCUGACUUGCAAUCAGAAGAUGUGGAUUAACGUCUGCAAAUCCUA
This 68-nucleotide transfer RNA is filed under the name Raiamas buchholzi. Its description in RNAcentral is "tRNA-Ala". It matches the Rfam family "tRNA". Rfam says of the family: Transfer RNA (tRNA) molecules are approximately 80 nucleotides in length. Their secondary structure includes four short double-helical elements and three loops (D, anti-codon, and T loops). Further hydrogen bonds mediate the characteristic L-shaped molecular structure. tRNAs have two regions of fundamental functional importance: the anti-codon, which is responsible for specific mRNA codon recognition, and the 3' end, to which the tRNAs corresponding amino acid is attached (by aminoacyl-tRNA synthetases). tRNAs cope with the degeneracy of the genetic code in two manners: having more than one tRNA (with a specific anti-codon) for a particular amino acid; and 'wobble' base-pairing, i.e. permitting non-standard base-pairing at the 3rd anti-codon position. Lineage: Eukaryota; Metazoa; Chordata; Actinopteri; Cypriniformes; Danionidae. The record is from RNAcentral.